RNAcentral lists this ribosomal RNA (482 nucleotides) under uncultured bacterium. RNAcentral describes it as "partial 16S ribosomal RNA". It matches the Rfam family "Bacterial small subunit ribosomal RNA", at positions 30 to 507 of the family's 1533-position model. The record is from RNAcentral.
AUUGAACGCUGGCGGCAUGCCUUACACAUGCAAGUCGAACGGUAACAGGUCUUCGGAUGCUGACGAGUGGCGAACGGGUGAGUAAUACAUCGGAACGUGCCCGAUCGUGGGGGAUAACGAGGCGAAAGCUUUGCUAAUACCGCAUACGAUCUACGGAUGAAAGCGGGGGAUCUUCGGACCUCGCGCGGACGGAGCGGCCGAUGGCAGAGUAGGUAGUUGGUGGGAUAAAAGCUUACCAAGCCGACGAUCUGUAGCUGGUCUGAGAGGAUGAUCAGCCACACUGGGACUGAGACACGGCCCAGACUCCUACGGGAGGCAGCAGUGGGGAAUUUUGGACAAUGGGCGAAAGCCUGAUCCAGCCAUGCCGCGUGCAGGAUGAAGGCCUUCGGGUUGUAAACUGCUUUUGUACGGAACGAAAAGCCUCUUUCUAAUAAAGAGGGGUCAUGACGGUACCGUAAGAAUAAGCACCGGCUAACUACGUG